UGGGUAGGGGAGCGUUCUGUAAGCCUGUGAAGGUGGCCUGUGAGGGUUGCUGGAGGUAUCAGAAGUGCGAAUGCUGACAUAAGUAACGAUAAAGCGGGUGAAAAGCCCGCUCGCCGGAAGACCAAGGGUUCCUGUCCAACGUUAAUCGGGGCAGGGUGAGUCGACCCCUAAGGCGAGGCCGAAAGGCGUAGUCGAUGGGAAACGGGUUAAUAUUCCCGUACUUGGUGUUACUGCGAAGGGGGGACGGAGAAGGCUAUGUUGGCCGGGCGACGGUUGUCCCGGUUUAAGCGUGUAGGUGUGUGUUCCAGGUAAAUCCGGUUCACUUUAACACUGAGGCGUGAUGACGAGGCACUACGGUGCUGAAGCAACAAAUGCCCUGCUUCCAGGAAAAGCCUCUAAGCAUCAGGUAACAUCAAAUCGUACCCCAAACCGACACAGGUGGUCAGGUAGAGAAUACCAAGGCGCUUGAGAGAACUCGGGUGAAGGAACUAGGCAAAAUGGUGCCGUAACUUCGGGAGAAGGCACGCUGACACGUAGGUGAAGUGAUUUACUCAUGGAGCUGAAGUCAGUCGAAGAUACCAGCUGGCUGCAACUGUUUAUUAAAAACACAGCACUGUGCAAACACGAAAGUGGACGUAUACGGUGUGACGCCUGCCCGGUGCCGGAAGGUUAAUUGAUGGGGUCAGCGCAAGCGAAGCUCCUGAUCGAAGCCCCGGUAAACGGCGGCCGUAACUAUAACGGUCCUAAGGUAGCGAAAUUCCUUGUCGGGUAAGUUCCGACCUGCACGAAUGGCGUAAUGAUGGCCAGGCUGUCUCCACCCGAGACUCAGUGAAAUUGAACUCGCUGUGAAGAUGCAGUGUACCCGCGGCAAGACGGAAAGACCCCGUGAACCUUUACUAUAGCUUGACACUGAACAUUGAGCCUUGAUGUGUAGGAUAGGUGGGAGGCUUUGAAGCGUGGACGCCAGUCUGCGUGGAGCCGACCUUGAAAUACCACCCUUUAAUGUUUGAUGUUCUAACGUGGACCCGUGAUCCGGGUUGCGGACAGUGUCUGGUGGGUAGUUUGACUGGGGCGGUCUCCUCCUAAAGAGUAACGGAGGAGCACGAAGGUUGGCUAAUCCUGGUCGGACAUCAGGAGGUUAGUGCAAUGGCAUAAGCCAGCUUGACUGCGAGCGUGACGGCGCGAGCAGGUGCGAAAGCAGGUCAUAGUGAUCCGGUGGUUCUGAAUGGAAGGGCCAUCGCUCAACGGAUAAAAGGUACUCCGGGGAUAACAGGCUGAUACCGCCCAAGAGUUCAUAUCGACGGCGGUGUUUGGCACCUCGAUGUCGGCUCAUCACAUCCUGGGGCUGAAGUAGGUCCCAAGGGUAUGGCUGUUCGCCAUUUAAAGUGGUACGCGAGCUGGGUUUAGAACGUCGUGAGACAGUUCGGUCCCUAUCUGCCGUGGGCGCUGGAGAACUGAGGGGGGCUGCUCCUAGUACGAGAGGACCGGAGUGGACGCAUCACUGGUGUUCGGGUUGUCAUGCCAAUGGCACUGCCCGGUAGCUAAAUGCGGAAGAGAUAAGUGCUGAAAGCAUCUAAGCACGAAACUUGCCCCGAGAUGAGUUCU
RNAcentral lists this ribosomal RNA (1605 nucleotides) under Salmonella enterica. RNAcentral describes it as "bacterial LSU rRNA". It matches the Rfam family "Bacterial large subunit ribosomal RNA", at positions 1225 to 2812 of the family's 2925-position model. Lineage: Bacteria; Pseudomonadati; Pseudomonadota; Gammaproteobacteria; Enterobacterales; Enterobacteriaceae. The record is from RNAcentral.